Molecule: ribosomal RNA, 2903 nt
Filed under: Escherichia coli
Lineage: Bacteria; Pseudomonadati; Pseudomonadota; Gammaproteobacteria; Enterobacterales; Enterobacteriaceae
Description: 23S ribosomal RNA
Rfam family: Bacterial large subunit ribosomal RNA
Source: RNAcentral
GGUUAAGCGACUAAGCGUACACGGUGGAUGCCCUGGCAGUCAGAGGCGAUGAAGGACGUGCUAAUCUGCGAUAAGCGUCGGUAAGGUGAUAUGAACCGUUAUAACCGGCGAUUUCCGAAUGGGGAAACCCAGUGUGUUUCGACACACUAUCAUUAACUGAAUCCAUAGGUUAAUGAGGCGAACCGGGGGAACUGAAACAUCUAAGUACCCCGAGGAAAAGAAAUCAACCGAGAUUCCCCCAGUAGCGGCGAGCGAACGGGGAGCAGCCCAGAGCCUGAAUCAGUGUGUGUGUUAGUGGAAGCGUCUGGAAAGGCGCGCGAUACAGGGUGACAGCCCCGUACACAAAAAUGCACAUGCUGUGAGCUCGAUGAGUAGGGCGGGACACGUGGUAUCCUGUCUGAAUAUGGGGGGACCAUCCUCCAAGGCUAAAUACUCCUGACUGACCGAUAGUGAACCAGUACCGUGAGGGAAAGGCGAAAAGAACCCCGGCGAGGGGAGUGAAAAAGAACCUGAAACCGUGUACGUACAAGCAGUGGGAGCCUCUUUAUGGGGUGACUGCGUACCUUUUGUAUAAUGGGUCAGCGACUUAUAUUCUGUAGCAAGGUUAACCGAAUAGGGGAGCCGAAGGGAAACCGAGUCUUAACUGGGCGUUAAGUUGCAGGGUAUAGACCCGAAACCCGGUGAUCUAGCCAUGGGCAGGUUGAAGGUUGGGUAACACUAACUGGAGGACCGAACCGACUAAUGUUGAAAAAUUAGCGGAUGACUUGUGGCUGGGGGUGAAAGGCCAAUCAAACCGGGAGAUAGCUGGUUCUCCCCGAAAGCUAUUUAGGUAGCGCCUCGUGAAUUCAUCUCCGGGGGUAGAGCACUGUUUCGGCAAGGGGGUCAUCCCGACUUACCAACCCGAUGCAAACUGCGAAUACCGGAGAAUGUUAUCACGGGAGACACACGGCGGGUGCUAACGUCCGUCGUGAAGAGGGAAACAACCCAGACCGCCAGCUAAGGUCCCAAAGUCAUGGUUAAGUGGGAAACGAUGUGGGAAGGCCCAGACAGCCAGGAUGUUGGCUUAGAAGCAGCCAUCAUUUAAAGAAAGCGUAAUAGCUCACUGGUCGAGUCGGCCUGCGCGGAAGAUGUAACGGGGCUAAACCAUGCACCGAAGCUGCGGCAGCGACGCUGAUGCGUUGUUGGGUAGGGGAGCGUUCUGUAAGCCUGUGAAGGUGUGCUGUGAGGCAUGCUGGAGGUAUCAGAAGUGCGAAUGCUGACAUAAGUAACGAUAAAGCGGGUGAAAAGCCCGCUCGCCGGAAGACCAAGGGUUCCUGUCCAACGUUAAUCGGGGCAGGGUGAGUCGACCCCUAAGGCGAGGCCGAAAGGCGUAGUCGAUGGGAAACAGGUUAAUAUUCCUGUACUUGGUGUUACUGCGAAGGGGGGACGGAGAAGGCUAUGUUGGCCGGGCGACGGUUGUCCCGGUUUAAGCGUGUAGGCUGGUUUUCCAGGCAAAUCCGGAAAAUCAAGGCUGAGGCGUGAUGACGAGGCACUACGGUGCUGAAGCAACAAAUGCCCUGCUUCCAGGAAAAGCCUCUAAGCAUCAGGUAACAUCAAAUCGUACCCCAAACCGACACAGGUGGUCAGGUAGAGAAUACCAAGGCGCUUGAGAGAACUCGGGUGAAGGAACUAGGCAAAAUGGUGCCGUAACUUCGGGAGAAGGCACGCUGAUAUGUAGGUGAAGUCCCUCGCGGAUGGAGCUGAAAUCAGUCGAAGAUACCAGCUGGCUGCAACUGUUUAUUAAAAACACAGCACUGUGCAAACACGAAAGUGGACGUAUACGGUGUGACGCCUGCCCGGUGCCGGAAGGUUAAUUGAUGGGGUUAGCGCAAGCGAAGCUCUUGAUCGAAGCCCCGGUAAACGGCGGCCGUAACUAUAACGGUCCUAAGGUAGCGAAAUUCCUUGUCGGGUAAGUUCCGACCUGCACGAAUGGCGUAAUGAUGGCCAGGCUGUCUCCACCCGAGACUCAGUGAAAUUGAACUCGCUGUGAAGAUGCAGUGUACCCGCGGCAAGACGGAAAGACCCCGUGAACCUUUACUAUAGCUUGACACUGAACAUUGAGCCUUGAUGUGUAGGAUAGGUGGGAGGCUUUGAAGUGUGGACGCCAGUCUGCAUGGAGCCGACCUUGAAAUACCACCCUUUAAUGUUUGAUGUUCUAACGUUGACCCGUAAUCCGGGUUGCGGACAGUGUCUGGUGGGUAGUUUGACUGGGGCGGUCUCCUCCUAAAGAGUAACGGAGGAGCACGAAGGUUGGCUAAUCCUGGUCGGACAUCAGGAGGUUAGUGCAAUGGCAUAAGCCAGCUUGACUGCGAGCGUGACGGCGCGAGCAGGUGCGAAAGCAGGUCAUAGUGAUCCGGUGGUUCUGAAUGGAAGGGCCAUCGCUCAACGGAUAAAAGGUACUCCGGGGAUAACAGGCUGAUACCGCCCAAGAGUUCAUAUCGACGGCGGUGUUUGGCACCUCGAUGUCGGCUCAUCACAUCCUGGGGCUGAAGUAGGUCCCAAGGGUAUGGCUGUUCGCCAUUUAAAGUGGUACGCGAGCUGGGUUUAGAACGUCGUGAGACAGUUCGGUCCCUAUCUGCCGUGGGCGCUGGAGAACUGAGGGGGGCUGCUCCUAGUACGAGAGGACCGGAGUGGACGCAUCACUGGUGUUCGGGUUGUCAUGCCAAUGGCACUGCCCGGUAGCUAAAUGCGGAAGAGAUAAGUGCUGAAAGCAUCUAAGCACGAAACUUGCCCCGAGAUGAGUUCUCCCUGACCCUUUAAGGGUCCUGAAGGAACGUUGAAGACGACGACGUUGAUAGGCCGGGUGUGUAAGCGCAGCGAUGCGUUGAGCUAACCGGUACUAAUGAACCGUGAGGCUUAACCUU